This 1004-nucleotide ribosomal RNA is filed under the name uncultured bacterium. RNAcentral describes it as "bacterial SSU rRNA". It matches the Rfam family "Bacterial small subunit ribosomal RNA", at positions 361 to 1355 of the family's 1533-position model. The record is from RNAcentral.
AUAUUGCACACUGGGGGAAACCUUGAUGCAGCGACGCCGCCGUGAGUGAAGAAGUAUUUCGGUACGUAAAGCUUUAUUAGCAGGGAAGAAAUAAAUUCCCCAGGACUUUGGUCGGUGCCCGACUAUGAAGCCCUGGCUAUCUACGUGCCACCACACCGCGGUAUUAUGUAGGGGGCACGCGUUAUCUCGGAUUUUUUGGGUGUAAAGGGAGACGUAGACGCCUGUGCAAGUCUGAAGUGAAAUACCGGGGCCCUCCCCCGGAACUGCUUUGGAAACUGUACAGCUAGAGUGCAUGAGGGGUGAGCGGAAUUCUUAGUGUAGCGGUGAAAUGCGUAGAUAUUAGGAGGAACACCGCUGGCGAAGGCGGCUCUCUGGACUGUAACUGACGUUGAGGCUCGAAAGCGUGGGGAGCACACACGAUUGGAUACCCUGGUAGUCCACGCCCUAAACGAUGAUUAAUAGGUGUCGAGAGGCCAAGGCCUCUCGGUACAGGCGCAAAAUCAUUAAGUAAUCCACUUGAGGAGUAUGUUCGCAAGAAUGAAAAUGAAAGGAAUUGAAGGGUACCAGCACAAGCGGUUGAGCAUGUGGUUUAAUCAGAAACAACGAGAAGAACAUAACCUGUCCUUGACAUCGGGAUGAAUGUACAGUAAUGUGUACAGGAGUUCGGAUACAUCCGGAGACAGUGUGGUGCAUGGUAGUUGUCAGCUGGUGUCGUGAGAUAGAUGGGUUAAGUCCCGCAAUCGAGCGCAACCCCUGUCCUCAGUAGCCAGCAGGGAAAGCUGGGAACUGAGAGGGUAAUACCCGGGAUAAUCGGGAGGAAGGCGGGGAUGACGUCAAAUCAUCAUGACCCUUAUGGCCGGGGGUACACACGUGAUACAAUGGCGGAAACAGUGGGAAGCAGCCCGGCGAGGGUGAGCGAACCCCAAAAAUACUGCCUCAGUUAGGAAGGUAGUGUUCAACCCGAAAACAAGAAGCCGGAAUCGCUAGUAAUCGCGAAUCAGAAU